Molecule: ribosomal RNA, 252 nt
Filed under: uncultured bacterium
Lineage: Bacteria
Description: partial 16S ribosomal RNA
Rfam family: Bacterial small subunit ribosomal RNA
Source: RNAcentral
UACGGGGGGGCAAGCGUUGUUCGGAAUUACUGGGCGUAAAGGGCUCGUAGGUGGCCAACUAAGUCGGACGUGAAAUCCCUCAGCUUAACUGGGGAACUGCGUCCGAUACUGGAUGGCUUGAGUUUGGGAGAGGGAUGCGGAAUUCCAGGUGUAGCGGUGAAAUGCGUAGAUAUCAGGAGGAACACCGGUGGUGUAGACGGCUUUCUGGACCGACACUGACGCUGAAACACGAAAGCGUGGGUAGCAAACAGG